AUAAAACACAGGGGGGGAGUGAAAGGCCUUGAGGAAAUGUGUCGUUUUCUUGAAGGGUCCUCUCUGCAAGAAGCUGAGAGAAGAGCUUCCAAGUAUUUCAGCAGCCAGCUGGGCACUGCAUUACCCUCACUAUUCAAAGGUAUGAACUGUUAGCUACCAACAGAAAGGGGGGAAGCAGGGUGUGUGAUGUUUGCUCCCUCCCAGCAUGUUAGCUUCGACUUCAGAAACUACUCAUGUCCCCAUGAAGCAGGAUGAGACAGACAUGGGAUCUGGAUAUUUGGGCUGUUCUAAAAGAUAAAGAGCAGAGAUGUGGUGAAGCAUAUUUAGGAAGCAUCUUAUUUCAGGUUUGCUCUGUGAAUUUCCGUUAUCAGAUGGGCACUGCUGCUAAUAUUCACUGCUUACAGCUGACAGAGAUGAAAAAGAACAGGAAAUACAGGUUCUGCUGGAGAUCAGAAAGGCACUGGAAAAGCUGAUGCAGUUUGUUAAGAAGAUACAAGAAGAAGAAAAGAGAACAUAUGUGCAGAUGACACAGAGAGAGAAGCAAAGAGGAGGCACAUCAAGUAUGGAAACAGUGAUGCUCAGACGGGUUGUACUGGCUCUAGCCUCUGAAUUUCAGGAAUGCAUGUUGAAACAACAAGCUAACGUGGAGACUGCAUACAGCAAGCUGGAAUUUUUGAGGGACUUGUCAGAUAUCCAAACCCAGCAGGCAAAGGUGCUUUUCUCUGGGUCACAACACUGUUUUGAAAACUAUGAGACAGCCAGAUACUAUGGCAGCAGUGGGAUCUCACACAGUACAUGCGAGGCCAUCCAUCACAGCGUGAUCCCACUGCUCAAGUCCAUGGUUCAGAUGCUGGAGGAAGACAGCAGAAGUUACGUAUCAUCUGAGACACCUGGUAAGAGAGGAGUUAAAGGUACUGUCAGUUACCUUAUUUUACACCGGGCUUUAAAAACAUAUUGGAGCCUUUCAACUUUGAAAGGCUAG
RNAcentral lists this long non-coding RNA (982 nucleotides) under Pavo cristatus (Indian peafowl). Its description in RNAcentral is "lncRNA (ENSPSTG00000009626.1)". The record is from RNAcentral. Lineage: Eukaryota; Metazoa; Chordata; Aves; Galliformes; Phasianidae.